RNAcentral lists this long non-coding RNA (264 nucleotides) under Helianthus annuus (common sunflower). RNAcentral describes it as "sRNA HanXRQr2_Chr04g0159911". Lineage: Eukaryota; Viridiplantae; Streptophyta; Magnoliopsida; Asterales; Asteraceae. The record is from RNAcentral.
GCCAACCCCAGGAUCACAAGAGGCACAAGAAACUGCAAAAUCUUCACAACAAAAUCUUGAGUCUUGUCCGGAUUGUAGGCCCUGUCAGCAGGCGCAACAUAUGUGCGCUUCUUAGGAACAGUAGAUUUGUCUACCUCCCCAAUGUAGUACUUGUGCAUCAUGUCUCUAGCAUCGUCACUGUGGCCCACGUCCUCAAAAUCAUCUGUCGCAUCUUUCCCUUUGCUGCUAGCAGAACUUCAUCACCUCCAGGGUGAUCCUCCAUAA